CACUGAGGCACGAAGGCCAGGGGAGCAAACGGGAUUAGAUACCCCGGUAGUCCUGGCAGUAAACGGUGCACGUUUGGUGUGGGAGGAUUCGACCCCUUCUGCGCCGGAGCUAACGCGUUAAACGUGCCGCCUGGGGAGUACGGUCGCAAGAUUAAAACUCAAAGAAAUUGACGGGGGCCCGCACAAGCGGUGGAGUAUGUGGCUUAAUUCGAUGCAACGCGAAGAACCUUACCUGGCCUUGACAUGCAUCUCUAAGCACGUGAAAGCGUGUGAGUCCCGAAAGGGACAAUUUGCACAGGUGCUGCAUGGCUGUCGUCAGCUCGUGUCGUGAGAUGUUGGGUUAAGUCCCGCAACGAGCGCAACCCCUGUGAACUGUUGCCACCGACCCGCGAGGGUCGAGCACUCUGUUCAGACUGCCCUGUGAAACGGGGAGGAAGGUGGGGACGACGUCAAGUCAGUAUGGCCCUUACGGCCAGGGCUGCACACGUACUACAAUGCCCAGUACAGAACGAUCCGAGACCGCGAGGUGGAGGAAAUCUAGUAAAACUGGGCCCAGUUCGGAUUGGAGUCUGCAACUCGACUCCAUGAAGCCGGAAUCGCUAGUAAUGGCGUAUCAGCUACGACGCCGUGAAUACGUUCCCGGGCCUUGUACACACCGCCCGUCACAUCAUGGAAGUCGCUUGUAGCCGAAGCCGGCGCGUCAACCCAGCAAUGGGAAACAGCCGUCUACGCUAUGAGCGGUAACUGGGAUGAAGUCGUAACAAGGUAACCAAGGG
This 776-nucleotide ribosomal RNA is filed under the name uncultured bacterium. Its description in RNAcentral is "bacterial SSU rRNA". It matches the Rfam family "Bacterial small subunit ribosomal RNA", at positions 744 to 1506 of the family's 1533-position model. The record is from RNAcentral.